GGACGCAUAGCUCAGUUGGUAGAGCAGCUGACUCUUAAUCAGCGGGUCCUAGGUUCGAGCCCUAGUGCGUCCA
Transfer RNA from Novosphingobium sp. AAP1, 73 nucleotides. It matches the Rfam family "tRNA". From Rfam's summary of the family: Transfer RNA (tRNA) molecules are approximately 80 nucleotides in length. Their secondary structure includes four short double-helical elements and three loops (D, anti-codon, and T loops). NCBI's taxonomy places the organism in Bacteria, Pseudomonadati, Pseudomonadota, Alphaproteobacteria, Sphingomonadales, Sphingomonadaceae. The record is from Rfam.